UUAUAUAGUAUAUCACCCUGCAGGCCAAGACCGGUUACUCACUGAAGCUAAGCAGGGUUAAGCCUGGUCAGUACCUAGAUGGGAGAUCAUAUGGGAAAACUAGGUUGCUCUUGGAA
Ribosomal RNA from Danio rerio (zebrafish), 116 nucleotides. NCBI's taxonomy places the organism in Eukaryota, Metazoa, Chordata, Actinopteri, Cypriniformes, Danionidae. The record is from Ensembl.